GAUAAACGCUGGCGGCGUGCAUGAGACAUGCAAGUCGAACGGACCAUCAGGGCUUGCUCUGAUGGUUAGUGGCGGACGGCUGAGUAACGCGUAGGUGACCUGCCCCGAAGUGGGGGAUAACUGCCCGAAAGGGUGGCUAAUACCGCAUGUGGUGGUUCGUUCGAUCGAUCCAUCAAAGCAGUAAUGCGCUUCGGGAGGGGCCUGCGUCCGAUUAGCUCGUUGGUGGGGUAACGGCUCACCAAGGCGACGAUCGGUAGGUGGUCUGAGAGGACGAUCACCCAGACUGGGACUGAGACACGGCCCAGACUCCUACGGGAGGCUG
This 322-nucleotide ribosomal RNA is filed under the name uncultured Pseudomonadota bacterium. RNAcentral's name for it is "bacterial SSU rRNA". It matches the Rfam family "Bacterial small subunit ribosomal RNA", at positions 28 to 351 of the family's 1533-position model. The record is from RNAcentral. Lineage: Bacteria; Pseudomonadati; Pseudomonadota.